This is a long non-coding RNA of Homo sapiens (human), 436 nucleotides long. RefSeq lists it as uncharacterized. The record is from RefSeq and is a predicted model, not a curated record. Lineage: Eukaryota; Metazoa; Chordata; Mammalia; Primates; Hominidae. The transcript is spliced from 2 exons.
CUUUUAGCAAACCAAGGAAGAAGGACUGGAUGUGCAUGAGUUGCAGGAGGCCUUAAGGGAAGCCAAAAGCUGGAGGUGAUAAAGCACAGAGAAAAGAGAGAGAACAUCAUCACAAUGAAGAAAGCCUGGUGCAGUAAAUCAAUGUGGUGCCAGGGAUGACUUGCGUAUAUACAACGUUUGCCAUGGAGUCCUGUGCUCUUUGCAGAGGUGAGAUUCAGGUUUGACUCUGAACUUCUCAGCAGCUGAAACCAAAGUAGACAAUGGCAUCAAUAACAAGAGCCACACAAUCAUUAGAAUAAAAAAAUCCCAGCUAUCAGGAGAAACAGAAACUUUCCAGGAACUUCUGUUCUUAUCACUCCCAGGAGGCCCUUGUGUGAUAUAAAAGGGACAAUACCUUCAAAAUCACUCCUGCAAUAAAAACAAUAGGUGGUUUCAA